This 374-nucleotide unclassified non-coding RNA is filed under the name uncultured Tulasnellaceae. RNAcentral's name for it is "sequence contains ITS2". Lineage: Eukaryota; Fungi; Basidiomycota; Agaricomycetes; Cantharellales; Tulasnellaceae. The record is from RNAcentral.
AACGCACCUUGCGCCCUCUGGUAUUCCGGAGAGUAUGCCCGGUUGAGUAUUAUGAUCAUCUCAAACCUUUCGUUUCUGAUUGCAAAGGUCUUGCGUUUGGCGAAGUCGUCUAUCGAGACGGUGGUAGCUGAACUUGGACUUGGAAGCGUAUUGGUCUUGGACUUGAGCGUCUCGUCGGUCCGCUUGGAUCGACCCGCUUGAAAUGUAUUAGCUGGCGACCCGCCUUACGGUUCCACUCGGCGUAGUAAGUCUUAUUCGUCGAGGACGCCUCUUACGAGGUGGCCUAUGGGUUUGGUGUGAUGCCGCUUCCAGUCGUCUUUGGACAGUCUUGAACCUUUAAUCUCAACUCGGGUAGGACUACCCGCUGAACUUAA